Molecule: ribosomal RNA, 259 nt
Filed under: uncultured bacterium
Lineage: Bacteria
Description: partial 16S ribosomal RNA
Rfam family: Bacterial small subunit ribosomal RNA
Source: RNAcentral
UACGAAGGGGGCUAGCGUUGCUCGGAAUUACUGGGCGUAAAGGGCGCGUAGGCGGAUACUUAAGUUAGAGGUGAAAGCCCAGGGCUCAACCCUGGAACAGCCUUUAAUACUGGGGUAUCUUGAGUUCGGGAGAGGUGAGUGGAACUCCGAGUGUAGAGGUGAAAUUCGUAGAUAUUCGGAAGAACACCAGUGGCGAAGGCGACUCACUGGCCCGAUACUGACGCUGAGGCGCGAAAAGCGUGGGGGAGCAAACAGGGAU